This 73-nucleotide transfer RNA is filed under the name Candida tropicalis. Its description in RNAcentral is "tRNA-Arg (CCG) (tRNA-Arg-CCG-1-1)". It matches the Rfam family "tRNA". From Rfam's summary of the family: Transfer RNA (tRNA) molecules are approximately 80 nucleotides in length. Their secondary structure includes four short double-helical elements and three loops (D, anti-codon, and T loops). Lineage: Eukaryota; Fungi; Ascomycota; Pichiomycetes; Serinales; Debaryomycetaceae. RNAcentral also lists the same sequence under 1 other name. The record is from RNAcentral.
GCCCCCUUGGUGCAGCCGGUAGCAUGAACGAUUCCGGAGCGUUUGGUCGCGGGUUCAAGUCCCGCAGGGGGCU